UGUGAGAUGGGAAUUGCACAUGUGAGAAGGGAAGGCAACUGAGGCUGUUGAUGGGGCAAGGAACUUCAGGAUGCCUUUUAUGAGAAAACUUUGGGCCCAAGAAGGUUUAUGUUGAACCUUCAAACACAUGCUGUUCAAAUGGCUUGAAAUAUUGAGUGAAAUAUGUUCAUCUUUCAUUAGCUGGAGAAAAGGCUUUUUACUUUCCUGUUCCUACCCCCCAAGCCCUGGAGAGUUCAUGGAGUUCCUUGGCUGCCAUGAAAUCAGCAGUGCCCAGGAGUGGGACCAGUCACAGUGGAAACCACAAGGGAGAUUUGUGUAGAUCGGAUGGGAAAUCACUGGAGGCCCUCAGGACUGGUCAGCAGGAUCUUUGCUGCAGCCAGGAAUAGAGUUUCCCUGUAAGUUGUUUGGCGAAAGUGUGUGGGGCAGGUUUGUCUCAGUGCCUUACCCAUCCUUCUGCAGUCUGGUCUUCACCUCUAAAAUGUGAGUGAUCAUUGUAAAGUUACCUAAAGUUACCUAAAAUGAGGUAACCCAGGCUUGAGUGUUGUGUCUGACGUUGUGCAUUUCUAUGUUGUCUCUCCUCCCUUUGUGUGCUCGAGCGCUACGGCACUGCAGGCAAAACCGGUGGAUGUGCUACGGCUGGCAGCAGAUUGUCACUCCAGGGCAGAGACACUCUGGGCCACCCUCAGCUGUGAUGAACAGGACAUGCUCUGGGAAAGCCUGUGAGGCAUGGGUGCAGAAAUGCAGGAUGGUCCUCACACUUGGGGCCAGUUUGACCCUUAUGUGGUGUGGCUGUGGUCAGGUCCUUAUGCCAGGGAGCGGGCUCUGAGCAGCACAGCAACUGCUCUCCGAACAGUCUGGGACAUUUUCAUGGGGAAGUGUCUGGUGGGAAUAUGGAACUCAGAUCUUGUCUUUCAGCACUAAUGCUCGCUCCCGGGCUGGCUGGCUUGAGGCUGGAGCCAGACUGCAAUUGCCCAAGUUAUUUCUGCAAUGAGGAAUAUAUGCAGAGUCAAGCAGAAAGCAUCUCGGAAGAAGUGAAUUACCAGCCAAAUAUAGAUUAUUUCAUUUUGAGGGACGUCAUCCAAUCUACUCAACUUCUCAGUCAUUCAGCAACUUUUAAUGUCUAUUAAUGCCUAUAUUUAUAAUAAUCAUACAUACUAAAAGUUCAUCCUGUAUUACAUCUUUAUUGCUUGCUCCUGGCAUAUAAUGUUAGACAGGGCAAUGCCUUUUCAUUCUUCUUUGGGGCGUCUAG
This is a non-coding RNA of Cyanistes caeruleus (blue tit), 1249 nucleotides long. Lineage: Eukaryota; Metazoa; Chordata; Aves; Passeriformes; Paridae. The record is from RefSeq and is a predicted model, not a curated record.